Small nuclear RNA from Suncus etruscus (white-toothed pygmy shrew), 107 nucleotides. NCBI's taxonomy places the organism in Eukaryota, Metazoa, Chordata, Mammalia, Eulipotyphla, Soricidae. The record is from RefSeq and is a predicted model, not a curated record.
GUGCUCGCUUGGUCAGCAAAUAUACUAAAAUUGGAAAGAUAUAGAGAAGAUUAACAUGGCCCUUGCACAAGGAUGACACGCAAAUUUGUGAAGCAUUCUAUAUUUAA